GACGGAGGGUGCAAGCGUUGCUCGGAAUCAUUGGGCGUAAAGGGUGCGUAGGCGGCUUUUUAAGUCUGACGUGAAAGCCCAGGCUUAGCCUUGGAAGUGCGCCAGAAACUGGAAGGCUAGAGUGCCGGAGGGGAGAGUGGAAUUCCUGGUGUAGCGGUGAAAUGCGUAGAUAUCAGGAGGAAUACCGGUGGCGAAAGCGACUCUCUGGACGGUAACUGACGCUGAGGCACGAAAGCGUGGGGAGCAAACAGGG
This 253-nucleotide ribosomal RNA is filed under the name uncultured bacterium. Its description in RNAcentral is "partial 16S ribosomal RNA". It matches the Rfam family "Bacterial small subunit ribosomal RNA", at positions 524 to 777 of the family's 1533-position model. The record is from RNAcentral.